GACAAGCCCAGGGCUGCUGUAGAGACAAGAGUUUUUCCAUGUAGGCCCGGCUGGCCUCGAACUCCUGACCUCAAGUGAUCCACCUGCCUCCCAAAGUGGGAUUACAGAUACAUGAAGUUAUGAAUUUAAGAUGUGAAGAUUUACAGCUUGAUAAACCAGCUUCAGGAGGACAUGAUCUUAUGAAUUCAACACAUGAAGAUUUACAACUUGAUAAACCAGCUUCAGGAGAUCAGAACUUCUUAUAAUACAACUGACGUUACUCAGCCUAGAACAAAUACAACAGGGAUUGUGCUGCAUUCUGACUUGGAUUCUGCCAUCGAACACAGAAUGCCCUGAUCCUUAGAUGCAGAGGCAGCUCUUCAGCCUAUUUUUCCCUAGGGCUGCUGUAAAAUAUUACAGGCAUACUUUGGAGAUGUUACGGGUUUGGUUCCACAUCAC
This 438-nucleotide long non-coding RNA is filed under the name Homo sapiens (human). RNAcentral's name for it is "HSALNT0123849". The record is from RNAcentral. Lineage: Eukaryota; Metazoa; Chordata; Mammalia; Primates; Hominidae.